CACACACGGUUAGAAAGAGGCAUGAGACUAAUGAGACGUUAUGGAGUGUCUCCGUGGCGUCUCGGCUUCCCGAUAGAGGGCUUAGAGUUGGAUGCAAUGUUUUAAAAUAAAGGGAUAAUUGAAAAGGUUUUUUGCUUUUAAUGGAUCCAACUUUGUUUUAGGAGUCACCGUUGUCAACGUCAUUGUUGGUGGAAAAGAGGUUAGGCCAGGAGGUAUAUCCGGAGUUUUCUGAGGUUCUUCAGGUGAAAUGCAGCAUUCAGCGUGAUAAAGGUUAGAUCGCAUCCCAUCGCGACAGCUUCGAGGGCUCGGACUAUUUUUGGAAAUCAUAUGAAUAUGGUGCACGCUGGUUGGUUUCGAGUCAUUUAAGUACACUGGAUUGGUAAAGUAUAGGUCUGCCUCGGGGUCUUCUCAUGAAAUAAGAUGAGAAGAUUAGAAGAAGAUGGAGAAUUAUCCACCCACUACAUUUUUUGUGCCGAAUUGAAGUGAUUUGUCUCACAUGGGACUAUUCAACAUUCACAGCUUACGUCUUUUGAGGUUGACUGUCAGCAACGUAGAGUGUUACCUUUCAAAAGGCAAAAAGUUCUCUUUUCACAUUUGCAAGAGCGGGGAAUUCAUGUAGAGGCAAAUGUUUUCCAAUUCACAGCGUAAUUUAUGCUUGUUAGUGGUAUGAAUUGUAUGCAGGGCCCCAAGGAGCGUCACAGAAAAAAUUAAAAAAGGUGUUUACUUCAAGUAAGGAUCCAAAUCAGCUUUGAAGGAACAAAAUUACACACUCAAUAAUUCCAAAGUAAGAGAUCGUCAGUUACACACUGACUGUGUCAGGGAGUUUAUUGGCAGAUAUUUAAAAUAAUAUUCAUAACUAUGUUUUAAUCAGUCAAUAGUCACGAAAAAAUAAGAAUUGUUAUGUUUUCCUUUGCUUCAAAAAAUCCCUAGACACAACCAGCAUGAGCAGAUACACUGCUGCUGUGUGUGUGUGUGGAAUCCAGAUGAAGUGACUCGCCUGUAAAACAAAAGUGACCCACAGUUUUUGAGUUCAAAGACAUUAAUGGUAUUCUUUUUGGCUGGUUUAAAUUGCGUGAGAUCACGUUGAAUGUGCUAUUUGCUACUUUGCUAAUCCCAGCACAAAUUUAAAGAAGUAAAUAAAUGGUAUUUAUACAACAGCACACAAAUGCUAAUCAUGUAUUGUUGAUUGAAGGAUGAAUCUUUUGACCAGCUUAAUCAUUGUGAUACUAUCUUCCUUGGGGGAUCAUUUUGAGUUCAUCCCUCAAAGUAACUGCUGCUUAUCUAUGCAACUGGUACAGUCAGGUCUAACAAGC
This is a long non-coding RNA of Gasterosteus aculeatus aculeatus (three-spined stickleback), 1313 nucleotides long. The record is from Ensembl. NCBI's taxonomy places the organism in Eukaryota, Metazoa, Chordata, Actinopteri, Perciformes, Gasterosteidae.